CCUACGGGAGGCAGCAGUGGGGAAUAUUGGACAAUGGGGGGAACCCUGAUCCAGCCAUGCCGCGUGUGUGAAGAAGGCCCUCGGGUUGUAAAGCACUUUCAGUGAGGAAGAACGCCUGGUGGUUAAUAUCCAUCAGGAAAGACAUCACUCACAGAAGAAGCACCGGCUAACUCCGUGCCAGCAGCCGCGGUAAUACGGAGGGUGCGAGCGUUAAUCGGAAUUACUGGGCGUAAAGCGCGCGUAGGUGGCUUGAUAAGCCGGUUGUGAAAGCCCCGGGCUCAACCUGGGAACGGCAUCCGGAACUGUCAAGCUAGAGUGCAGGAGAGGAAGGUAGAAUUCCCGGUGUAGCGGUGAAAUGCGUAGAGAUCGGGAGGAAUACCAGUGGCGAAGGCGGCCUUCUGGACUGACACUGACACUGAGGUGCGAAAGCGUGGGUAGCAAACAGGAUUAGAUACCCCAGUAGUC
Molecule: ribosomal RNA, 465 nt
Filed under: Vreelandella stevensii
Lineage: Bacteria; Pseudomonadati; Pseudomonadota; Gammaproteobacteria; Oceanospirillales; Halomonadaceae
Description: partial 16S ribosomal RNA
Rfam family: Bacterial small subunit ribosomal RNA
Source: RNAcentral